UUUCUCUUUAGUUUUUAUAGGAGAUAUGUCCUGCCCACUGAUAAUAUUUUAAUGGCCGCGGUAUUUUGACCGUGCAAAGGUAGCAUAAUCAUUAGUCUUUUAAUUGGAGUCUGGAAUGAAUGGUUUGAUGAAAUAUAGUUUGUCUUAUUUUGAUAAUUAAUUGAAUUUAAUUGUUGGGUUAAAAAGCUUAAAUUUUUUUAUGGGACGAGAAGACCCUAUAGAGUUUUAUAAUUUAUUUGUUGUUGUUGUUUUUUAUUUUUUUAUAAUUUAUAAUUUAUUUUGUUGGGGUGAUGGGUAGAUAAAAUAAACUCUAUUUAUUGUUUUGUAAUAUUUUUAUAUUGUUGAUCCAAUAAUUUUGAUUAUAAGACUGAAUUACCUUAGGGAUAACAGCGUAAUCUUUUUGGAGAGUUCUUAUCUAUAAAAAGGUUUGCGA
RNAcentral lists this ribosomal RNA (433 nucleotides) under Paratropes sp. 1 DJGI-2006. RNAcentral's name for it is "partial 16S ribosomal RNA". Lineage: Eukaryota; Metazoa; Arthropoda; Insecta; Blattodea; Nyctiboridae. The record is from RNAcentral.